ACAAAUUUAACGGGGUUCGGUCAAGGUGACCUAUGUUCACAAGUAAGAGGAACAAUUUUACUAUAAUAAUCGGCACAUAAAAUAGAGUGCAAAAUUAGAGAAGAAACUCUAAUUAUCCUAAAAUAUAUCCCAAGAGAAUAACCUCGCUACAAUCACUCACUAGGAAGAGGUUCACUCAAAGUAUUUCCAAUACUAACUCUUUGGAAUAUAAUAAAACUCUCUAUUACAAGAAUUUU
RNAcentral lists this long non-coding RNA (236 nucleotides) under Nicotiana benthamiana. Its description in RNAcentral is "long non-coding RNA (NBEN_LNC003005)". The record is from RNAcentral. Lineage: Eukaryota; Viridiplantae; Streptophyta; Magnoliopsida; Solanales; Solanaceae.